CCUACGGGUGGCAGCAGUGAGGAAUAUUGGUCAAUGGCCGAGAGUCUGAACCAGCCAAGUAGCGUGAGGGAAGACUGCCCUAUGGGUUGUAAACCUCUUUUAUCGGGGAAUAAAAGCGUCAACGUGUGGGCUGUGGUAGGUACCGUAUGAAUAAGGACCGGCUAAUUCCGUGCCAGCCGCCGCGGUAAUACGGAGGUGCCGGGCGUUAUCCGGAUUUAUUGGGUUUAAAGGGAGCGUAGGUGGGUUUUUAAGCGCGUCGUGAAAAUUUGUGGCUUAACCGUUACAGUGCGGUUGAAACUGGCGGUCUAGAGUGUGCGAGAGGUAGGCGGAAUUCGUGGUGUAGCGGUGAAAUGCUUAGAUAUCACGAAGAACCCCGAUUGCGAAGGCAGCUCACCGGAGCACAACUGACGCUGAGGCUCGAAAGCGUGGGUAUCGAACAGGAUUAGAUACCCGAGUAGUC
This 460-nucleotide ribosomal RNA is filed under the name uncultured bacterium. RNAcentral describes it as "partial 16S ribosomal RNA". It matches the Rfam family "Bacterial small subunit ribosomal RNA", at positions 338 to 795 of the family's 1533-position model. The record is from RNAcentral.